UACGAGGGGUGCAAACGUUGUUCGGAAUGAUUGGGCGUAAAGGGUGCGUAGGCGGCACGUUAAGUCAACUGUUAAAUCUCCCGGCCUAACCGGGAACAUGCAGUAGAAACUGAUGCGCUAGAGUAUGGAAGAGAGAAGUGGAAUUCUCGGAGUAGCGGUAAAAUGCGUAGAGAUCAGGAAGAACAUCGGUGGCGAAGGCGCUCUGCUGGACCAUAACUGACACUCAGGGACGAAAGCUAGGGGAGCGAAUGGG
RNAcentral lists this ribosomal RNA (253 nucleotides) under uncultured bacterium. Its description in RNAcentral is "partial 16S ribosomal RNA". It matches the Rfam family "Bacterial small subunit ribosomal RNA", at positions 524 to 776 of the family's 1533-position model. The record is from RNAcentral.